AGGGUGGCCAUUAUUUUGGUUUUCCUGGGACUGAGAAGUAUUCCAGGAUGCAGGACUUUUCAGUUAUAUGACAGGGAAAGUC
RNAcentral lists this microRNA precursor (82 nucleotides) under Pteropus vampyrus (large flying fox). RNAcentral describes it as "miRNA (ENSPVAG00000029442.1)". Lineage: Eukaryota; Metazoa; Chordata; Mammalia; Chiroptera; Pteropodidae. The record is from RNAcentral.